AACGCUAGCUACAGGCUUAACACAUGCAAGUCGAGGGGCAGCAUGAACUUAGCUUGCUAAGUUUGAUGGCGACCGGCGCACGGGUGAGUAACACGCAUCCAACCUGCCGAUGACUCGGGGAUAGCCUUUCGAAAGAAAGAUUAAUACCCGAUGGCAUAGUUCUUCCGCAUGGUAGAACUAUUAAAGGAUUUCGGUCAUCGAUGGGGAUGCGUUCCAUUAGCUUGUUGGCGGGGUAACGGCCCACCAAGGCAACGAUGGAUAGGGGUUCUGAGAGGAAGGUCCCCCACAUUGGAACUGAGACACGGUCCAAACUCCUACGGGAGGCAGCAGUGAGGAAUAUUGGUCAAUGGGCGAAGGCCUGAACCAGCCAAGUAGCGUGAAGGAUGACUGCCCUAUGGGUUGUAAACUUCUUUUAUACGGGAAUAAAGUGCCCUACGUGUAGGGUUUUGUAUGUACCGUAUGAAUAAGGAUCGGCUAACUCCGUGCCAGCAGCCGCGGUAAUACGGAGGAUCCGAGCGUUAUCCGGAUUUAUUGGGUUUAAAGGGAGCGUAGGCGGGCGUUUAAGUCAGUUGUGAAAGUUUGCGGCUCAACCGUAAAAUUGCAGUUGAUACUGGACGCCUUGAGUGCGGCAUAGGUGGGCGGAAUUCGUGGUGUAGCGGUGAAAUGCUUAGAUAUCACGAAGAACUCCGAUUG
RNAcentral lists this ribosomal RNA (693 nucleotides) under uncultured bacterium. RNAcentral's name for it is "bacterial SSU rRNA". It matches the Rfam family "Bacterial small subunit ribosomal RNA", at positions 32 to 715 of the family's 1533-position model. The record is from RNAcentral.